UCCCUGGUAGUAUAUCGGUUAGUACACGCGCCUGUCAUUGUAAAUAAUGCGCAACGUCUUCGCGCGAAAGCUGGGUUCGACUCCCAGCCAGGGAG
Marasmius tenuissimus is the source of this 95-nucleotide non-coding RNA. NCBI's taxonomy places the organism in Eukaryota, Fungi, Basidiomycota, Agaricomycetes, Agaricales, Marasmiaceae. The record is from the annotation of a GenBank genome assembly.